Molecule: ribosomal RNA, 664 nt
Filed under: uncultured Bacillus sp.
Lineage: Bacteria; Bacillati; Bacillota; Bacilli; Caryophanales; Bacillaceae
Description: partial 16S ribosomal RNA
Rfam family: Bacterial small subunit ribosomal RNA (bases 59-581)
Source: RNAcentral
UUNANAGNGGUNUUCCGUCCUUUAGUUGCUGCANNUAACGCAUUUAAGCACUCCGNNUGGGGAGUACGGCNGCAAGGCUGAAACUCAAANNAAUUGACGGGGGCCCGCACAAGCGGUGGAGCAUGUGGUUUAAUUCGAAGCNACGCGAAGAACCUUACCAGGUCUUGACAUCCUCUGACAACCCUAGAGAUAGGGCCUUCCCCUUUUGGGGGACAGAGUGACAGGUGGUGCAUGGUUGUCGUCAGCUCGUGUCGUGAGAUGUUGGGUUAAGUCCCGCAACGAGCGCAACCCUUGAUCUUAGUUGCCAGCAUUCAGUUGGGCACUCUAAGGUGACUGCCGGUGACAAACCGGAGGAAGGUGGGGAUGACGUCAAAUCAUCAUGCCCCUUAUGACCUGGGCUACACACGUGCUACAAUGGAUGGGUACAAAGAAGCCCGCAAACCCGCGAGGGGUAAGCUAAUCUCAUAAAGCCGUUCUCAGUUCGGAUNGCAGGCUGCAACUCGCCUGCAUGAAGCCGGAAUCGCUAGUUAAUCGCGGAUCAGCAUGCCCGCGGUGAAAUACGUUCCCGGGGCCCUUGUACACCAACCGGCCCGUCAACAACCAACGAAGGAGGUUUUGGUUAANCCACCCCCCGNAAGUUUCCGGGUGGNAGGGUNAAACCCCU